AAGAAAUUAGUUUAAUACAAAACAUUAGCUUGUCAAGCCAAAGAUAUCUUAGAUAUUUCUUA
RNAcentral lists this transfer RNA (62 nucleotides) under Anthocoris kerzhneri. RNAcentral's name for it is "tRNA-Asp". It matches the Rfam family "tRNA". Rfam says of the family: Transfer RNA (tRNA) molecules are approximately 80 nucleotides in length. Their secondary structure includes four short double-helical elements and three loops (D, anti-codon, and T loops). Further hydrogen bonds mediate the characteristic L-shaped molecular structure. tRNAs have two regions of fundamental functional importance: the anti-codon, which is responsible for specific mRNA codon recognition, and the 3' end, to which the tRNAs corresponding amino acid is attached (by aminoacyl-tRNA synthetases). tRNAs cope with the degeneracy of the genetic code in two manners: having more than one tRNA (with a specific anti-codon) for a particular amino acid; and 'wobble' base-pairing, i.e. permitting non-standard base-pairing at the 3rd anti-codon position. The record is from RNAcentral. Lineage: Eukaryota; Metazoa; Arthropoda; Insecta; Hemiptera; Anthocoridae. RNAcentral also lists the same sequence under 2 other names.